RNAcentral lists this ribosomal RNA (253 nucleotides) under uncultured bacterium. RNAcentral's name for it is "partial 16S ribosomal RNA". It matches the Rfam family "Bacterial small subunit ribosomal RNA", at positions 524 to 776 of the family's 1533-position model. The record is from RNAcentral.
UACGGGGGGGGCAAGCGUUGUUCGGAAUUACUGGGCGUAAAGGGCUCGUAGGCGGCCAACUAAGUCAGACGUGAAAUCCCUCGGCUUAACCGGGGAACUGCGUCUGAUACUGGUUGGCUUGAAUCCGGGAGAGGGAUGUGGAAUUCCAGGUGUAGCGGUGAAAUGCGUAGAUAUCUGGAGGAACACCGGUGGCGAAGGCGGCAUCCUGGACCGGUAUUGACGCUGAGGAGCGAAAGCCAGGUGAGCAAACGGG